RNAcentral lists this long non-coding RNA (281 nucleotides) under Malus domestica (apple). RNAcentral describes it as "long non-coding RNA (MDOM_LNC020352)". Lineage: Eukaryota; Viridiplantae; Streptophyta; Magnoliopsida; Rosales; Rosaceae. The record is from RNAcentral.
UAUGAAUGGAACUAGAACUAGCGAACUACCAGCCAUUUUGAUCAUGGCAACUUCGUAAUUAAAGUAAAACAUUAGGGGUAGAACAAGAAACUCAACCAGAUCCCAUGUGAACGAAGGAUAUCGUUUUCUAUUGUGGGAUUGUGGGGACCCACACCACUCUGCCAAGAAGAGCAACUUUUUGACAUAAGCAGUUACGCUAAUCGCCAAUCGCUCUCCCAAAUCCCCAACAACAUCCGUCGUCAUCUUCCCCUCCUCCUCCCUCCAAAAAUUAACAUGUCGUG